RNAcentral lists this ribosomal RNA (493 nucleotides) under uncultured bacterium. RNAcentral describes it as "bacterial SSU rRNA". It matches the Rfam family "Bacterial small subunit ribosomal RNA", at positions 22 to 509 of the family's 1533-position model. The record is from RNAcentral.
GCUCAGGAUGAACGCUAGCGGCAGGCUUAACACAUGCAAGUCGAGGGGUAACGCGAGGUAGCAAUACUUUGGCGACGACCGGCGCACGGGUGCGUAACGCGUAUGCAACCUACCUGUAACAGGGGGAUAACGGAGAGAAAUUUCCACUAAUACCCCAUAUUGUCAUUCAUUCGCAUGUUUGGGUGACGAAAGCUUCGGUGGUUACGGAUGGGCAUGCGUGACAUUAGCUAGUUGGUAAGGUAACGGCUUACCAAGGCGACGAUGUCUAGGGGAGCUGAGAGGCUUAUCCCCACACUGGUACUGAGACACGGACCAGACUCCUACGGGAGGCAGCAGUGAGGAAUAUUGGUCAAUGGACGGAAGUCUGAACCAGCCAUGCCGCGUGGAGGAAGAAGGUCCUAUGGGUUGUAAACUCCUUUUGUUCGAGAGUAAUAAGAGGCUUGCGAGCCUCGAUGAGAGUAUCGGACGAAUAAGCAUCGGCUAACUCCGUGCC